UGCGUAGGUGGUGGGGUAAGUCUCGUGUGAAAGCUCGCAGCUUAACUGCGAAAAGUCACGGGAUACUAUUCCGCUAGAGGCUUGGGAGGGGGGACUGGAAUACUUGGUGUAGCAGUGAAAUGCGUAGAUAUCAAGUGGAACACCAGUGGCGAAGGCGAGUCCCUGGACAAGACCUGACACUGAGGCACGAAAGCCAGGGGAGCAAACA
This 208-nucleotide ribosomal RNA is filed under the name uncultured bacterium. Its description in RNAcentral is "partial 16S ribosomal RNA". It matches the Rfam family "Bacterial small subunit ribosomal RNA", at positions 568 to 774 of the family's 1533-position model. The record is from RNAcentral.